RNAcentral lists this ribosomal RNA (468 nucleotides) under uncultured bacterium. Its description in RNAcentral is "partial 16S ribosomal RNA". It matches the Rfam family "Bacterial small subunit ribosomal RNA", at positions 28 to 507 of the family's 1533-position model. The record is from RNAcentral.
GACGAACGCUGGCGGCGUGCUUAACACAUGCAAGCCGAACGGAAAGGCCCUGCUUUUGUGGGGUGCUCGAGUGGCGAACGGGUGAGUAACACGUGAGUAACCUGCCCUUGACUUUGGGAUAACUUCAGGAAACUGGGGCUAAUACCGGAUAGGAGCUCCUGCUGCAUGGUGGGGGUUGGAAAGUUUCGGCGGUUGGGGAUGGACUCGCGGCUUAUCAGCUUGUUGGUGGGGUAGUGGCUUACCAAGGCUUUGACGGGUAGCCGGCCUGGGAGGGUGACCGGGCACAUGGGGACUGAGAUACGGCCCAGACGCCAACGGGAGGCAGCAGUGGGGAAUAUGGCACAAUGGGCGGAAGCCUGAUGCAGCAACGCCGCGUGCGGGAUGACGGCCUUCGGGGAGUAAACCGCUUUCGCCUGUGACGAAGCGUGAGUGACGGUAAUGGGUAAAGAAGCACCGGCUAACUACGUG